RNAcentral lists this ribosomal RNA (253 nucleotides) under uncultured bacterium. RNAcentral describes it as "partial 16S ribosomal RNA". It matches the Rfam family "Bacterial small subunit ribosomal RNA", at positions 524 to 776 of the family's 1533-position model. The record is from RNAcentral.
UACAGAGGUCUCAAGCGUUGUUCGGAUUCAUUGGGCGUAAAGGGUGCGUAGGCGGCGCGGAAAGUUGGGUGUGAAAUCCCUCGGCUUAACCGAGGAACUGCGCCCAAAACUACCGUGCUCGAGGGAGAUAGAGGUGAGCGGAACUUAGGGUGGAGCGGUGAAAUGCGUUGAUAUCCUAAGGAACACCGGUGGCGAAAGCGGCUCACUGGAUCUCUUCUGACGCUGAGGCACGAAAGCUAGGGUAGCGAACGGG